RNAcentral lists this unclassified non-coding RNA (278 nucleotides) under fungal sp. Its description in RNAcentral is "partial contains 5.8S ribosomal RNA, internal transcribed spacer 2, and large subunit ribosomal RNA". The stretch from base 1 to 71 matches the Rfam family "5.8S ribosomal RNA", at positions 84 to 154 of the family's 154-position model. Lineage: Eukaryota; Fungi. The record is from RNAcentral.
GUGAGUCAUCGAAUCUUUGAACGCACAUUGCGCCCCGUGGUAUUCCGCGGGGCAUGCCUGUUCGAGCGUCAGUACAACACUCAAGCUCUGCUUGGUCUUGGGCCGCGUCAGUCUGACCGGCCUUAAAAUCAGUGGCGGUGCCAUCGUGCUCUAAGCGUAGUAAUACUCCUCGCUACAGGGUCUCGGUGCGUGCUAGCCAGCAACCCUCAACUUUCUAAGUUUGACCUCGGAUCAGGUAGGGAUACCCGCUGAACUUAAGCAUAUCAAUAAGCGGAGGA